RNAcentral lists this ribosomal RNA (301 nucleotides) under uncultured bacterium. RNAcentral's name for it is "partial 16S ribosomal RNA". It matches the Rfam family "Bacterial small subunit ribosomal RNA", at positions 509 to 807 of the family's 1533-position model. The record is from RNAcentral.
CAGCAGCCGCGGUAAUACGGAGGGAGCUAGCGUUAUUCGGAAUUACUGGGCGUAAAGCGCACGUAGGCGGCUUUGUAAGUAAGAGGUGAAAGCCCGGAGCUCAACUCCGGAACUGCCUUUUAGACUGCAUCGCUUGAAUCCAGGAGAGGUGAGUGGAAUUCCGAGUGUAGAGGUGAAAUUCGUAGAUAUUCGGAAGAACACCAGUGGCGAAGGCGGCUCACUGGACUGGUAUUGACGCUGAGGUGCGAAAGCGUGGGGAGCAAACAGGAUUAGAUACCCCCGUAGUCCCUGUCUCUUAUAC